This is a long non-coding RNA of Acanthopagrus latus (yellowfin seabream), 1489 nucleotides long. RefSeq lists it as uncharacterized. NCBI's taxonomy places the organism in Eukaryota, Metazoa, Chordata, Actinopteri, Spariformes, Sparidae. The record is from RefSeq and is a predicted model, not a curated record. The transcript has 3 exons.
GCCAAUAUCGCAUAUCACACAUAGGCAAAGUUGAAAAUUAAAUUAUAAUUAAUUUAAAUACAAAUAAUUAAGCCACAGUAAAUAAAAUACAUCAGUAUAAUUAUAUGUAAUAUUGUAGAUUAUUCCUGAAUAUUUUCAGCCUCAGGUCUAAAAAAUAAAAAAAUAUAUAUCUAACUGUGUCUGUAACAUUUAAUAUACUGGCUAAAAUACAAAACCAUACUCAUCGUCAUGUAUUUUAAAUUUCGUCUUUUAAAUUAUUAAUGGUAUUUCAGUUUUUUUCGGGCUUCAUGGAUGGCGUGAGAGCCGGUGUUUCCGUGUCCGCGCAGGGGCAGCUGUUCCUCCUCCCGCCUGCCGGUGAAUAGCAGCUUCCUGCCGGCUGCUGCCGCUGCUGCAGCCGCUGUCAGCAGCUCCGUGCCCCCCUCACGUCCCGCCCGGCGACGAGCGCGACAGGCGGGUCGGACAAAAUACAUUCUCACGGUGGACCCGCCAUGUUUACCCUGCCGCUGCCUGAGCAGGCAGCUCGGGUCUCUCGCAGUUCAACACAGUUGGCUCUCAACUGCCAACAUUAAGAGCAUUGUUUCCCCCUCUGUAUGUUGCACAAACGUAUCUUUACCUUUAAAAAAAACCGACAUGAUCUCACAUCUGUUCUAAAGCAGCGUAAAACCCGUGAAGUUAAUCACUACCCGCUCAGUUCUCCAACCCUUGUCGUGUUUUCCAUAUGAUGAGGCCAUCACACAGGGAUCUGCCGCCGUGCACCGCGCUGCUGCUGCUGCUGCUGCUGCUGGUUUGUUUAGAACUGAGCCUCGUCUCAGUCAGUCCACAUGCUAAAGCCUCAAUCAGAGGCAGAAGUCUGGAUCAAAGUGAGCUAACAGCACUACCACUCUCAGGGGCUGGCCAUCUGUGUUGGGUCCAGGAGGAAUGAAUGUGCGAUGGGGGUGUGAAGCCCAAGUGAAGUUGUUACACCAGCAAAUAUAACGUUUUUUCCUAUCAGCACAUUUGGGCUACAGUCCGUGGGAAAUACAGUCGUUGAAGCUCAAGGCCGGCUCGGUUGCUGGGGCAGGGUUCCUGAAUGGCAGCUAUAGUAUUGUUGUGAUUAUGAGUGUGGCAUUGUCGUGGAAGACAUUUUGUGACUCUGCACUAAGAGACGAUGUUUAAUGCUUGUUUUUUUUGUUGUUGUUGUUUUUUUUUUUCAUUUUGUGACAUGGUGUGAUAGUCAGCUUACACAGCCUCUCGUAUUUCUGAAGGCCGUCUGCACAUUCAGGAACCUACUACGUCCUUCAGAACCUCUAUAGGCCUGUAAUAUACUGCAAGCCUCUUUAUCCUGCAGACUACACUCUCCUUCAGGCUCGCACAGAGCCAUAAUAGGACCUGUGCCACAACAUACUUAGUGAAAGGAAAAUAUUAUAUAUACAGUAACGUGAAUUUUUCCUAAAACUGAAUAAAUGAACUGCUCGCAGAGGAAAAUAAGAAGUAAGACCACUGUUUGAAG